RNAcentral lists this ribosomal RNA (3003 nucleotides) under Escherichia coli. Its description in RNAcentral is "23S ribosomal RNA". It matches the Rfam family "Bacterial large subunit ribosomal RNA". The record is from RNAcentral. Lineage: Bacteria; Pseudomonadati; Pseudomonadota; Gammaproteobacteria; Enterobacterales; Enterobacteriaceae.
GGUUAAGCGACUAAGCGUACACGGUGGAUGCCCUGGCAGUCAGAGGCGAUGAAGGACGUGCUAAUCUGCGAUAAGCGUCGGUAAGGUGAUAUGAACCGUUAUAACCGGCGAUUUCCGAAUGGGGAAACCCAGUGUGUUUCGACACACUAUCAUUAACUGAAUCCAUAGGUUAAUGAGGCGAACCGGGGGAACUGAAACAUCUAAGUACCCCGAGGAAAAGAAAUCAACCGAGAUUCCCCCAGUAGCGGCGAGCGAACGGGGAGCAGCCCAGAGCCUGAAUCAGUGUGUGUGUUAGUGGAAGCGUCUGGAAAGGCGCGCGAUACAGGGUGACAGCCCCGUACACAAAAAUGCACAUGCUGUGAGCUCGAUGAGUAGGGCGGGACACGUGGUAUCCUGUCUGAAUAUGGGGGGACCAUCCUCCAAGGCUAAAUACUCCUGACUGACCGAUAGUGAACCAGUACCGUGAGGGAAAGGCGAAAAGAACCCCGGCGAGGGGAGUGAAAAAGAACCUGAAACCGUGUACGUACAAGCAGUGGGAGCACGCUUAGGCGUGUGACUGCGUACCUUUUGUAUAAUGGGUCAGCGACUUAUAUUCUGUAGCAAGGUUAACCGAAUAGGGGAGCCGAAGGGAAACCGAGUCUUAACUGGGCGUUAAGUUGCAGGGUAUAGACCCGAAACCCGGUGAUCUAGCCAUGGGCAGGUUGAAGGUUGGGUAACACUAACUGGAGGACCGAACCGACUAAUGUUGAAAAAUUAGCGGAUGACUUGUGGCUGGGGGUGAAAGGCCAAUCAAACCGGGAGAUAGCUGGUUCUCCCCGAAAGCUAUUUAGGUAGCGCCUCGUGAAUUCAUCUCCGGGGGUAGAGCACUGUUUCGGCAAGGGGGUCAUCCCGACUUACCAACCCGAUGCAAACUGCGAAUACCGGAGAAUGUUAUCACGGGAGACACACGGCGGGUGCUAACGUCCGUCGUGAAGAGGGAAACAACCCAGACCGCCAGCUAAGGUCCCAAAGUCAUGGUUAAGUGGGAAACGAUGUGGGAAGGCCCAGACAGCCAGGAUGUUGGCUUAGAAGCAGCCAUCAUUUAAAGAAAGCGUAAUAGCUCACUGGUCGAGUCGGCCUGCGCGGAAGAUGUAACGGGGCUAAACCAUGCACCGAAGCUGCGGCAGCGACGCUUAUGCGUUGUUGGGUAGGGGAGCGUUCUGUAAGCCUGUGAAGGUGUGCUGUGAGGCAUGCUGGAGGUAUCAGAAGUGCGAAUGCUGACAUAAGUAACGAUAAAGCGGGUGAAAAGCCCGCUCGCCGGAAGACCAAGGGUUCCUGUCCAACGUUAAUCGGGGCAGGGUGAGUCGACCCCUAAGGCGAGGCCGAAAGGCGUAGUCGAUGGGAAACAGGUUAAUAUUCCUGUACUUGGUGUUACUGCGAAGGGGGGACGGAGAAGGCUAUGUUGGCCGGGCGACGGUUGUCCCGGUUUAAGCGUGUAGGCUGGUUUUCCAGGCAAAUCCGGAAAAUCAAGGCUGAGGCGUGAUGACGAGGCANNNNNNNNNNNNNNNNNNNNNNNNNNNNNNNNNNNNNNNNNNNNNNNNNNNNNNNNNNNNNNNNNNNNNNNNNNNNNNNNNNNNNNNNNNNNNNNGGCACUACGGUGCUGAAGCAACAAAUGCCCUGCUUCCAGGAAAAGCCUCUAAGCAUCAGGUAACAUCAAAUCGUACCCCAAACCGACACAGGUGGUCAGGUAGAGAAUACCAAGGCGCUUGAGAGAACUCGGGUGAAGGAACUAGGCAAAAUGGUGCCGUAACUUCGGGAGAAGGCACGCUGAUAUGUAGGUGAAGUCCCUCGCGGAUGGAGCUGAAAUCAGUCGAAGAUACCAGCUGGCUGCAACUGUUUAUUAAAAACACAGCACUGUGCAAACACGAAAGUGGACGUAUACGGUGUGACGCCUGCCCGGUGCCGGAAGGUUAAUUGAUGGGGUCAGCGCAAGCGAAGCUCUUGAUCGAAGCCCCGGUAAACGGCGGCCGUAACUAUAACGGUCCUAAGGUAGCGAAAUUCCUUGUCGGGUAAGUUCCGACCUGCACGAAUGGCGUAAUGAUGGCCAGGCUGUCUCCACCCGAGACUCAGUGAAAUUGAACUCGCUGUGAAGAUGCAGUGUACCCGCGGCAAGACGGAAAGACCCCGUGAACCUUUACUAUAGCUUGACACUGAACAUUGAGCCUUGAUGUGUAGGAUAGGUGGGAGGCUUUGAAGUGUGGACGCCAGUCUGCAUGGAGCCGACCUUGAAAUACCACCCUUUAAUGUUUGAUGUUCUAACGUUGACCCGUGAUCCGGGUUGCGGACAGUGUCUGGUGGGUAGUUUGACUGGGGCGGUCUCCUCCUAAAGAGUAACGGAGGAGCACGAAGGUUGGCUAAUCCUGGUCGGACAUCAGGAGGUUAGUGCAAUGGCAUAAGCCAGCUUGACUGCGAGCGUGACGGCGCGAGCAGGUGCGAAAGCAGGUCAUAGUGAUCCGGUGGUUCUGAAUGGAAGGGCCAUCGCUCAACGGAUAAAAGGUACUCCGGGGAUAACAGGCUGAUACCGCCCAAGAGUUCAUAUCGACGGCGGUGUUUGGCACCUCGAUGUCGGCUCAUCACAUCCUGGGGCUGAAGUAGGUCCCAAGGGUAUGGCUGUUCGCCAUUUAAAGUGGUACGCGAGCUGGGUUUAGAACGUCGUGAGACAGUUCGGUCCCUAUCUGCCGUGGGCGCUGGAGAACUGAGGGGGGCUGCUCCUAGUACGAGAGGACCGGAGUGGACGCAUCACUGGUGUUCGGGUUGUCAUGCCAAUGGCACUGCCCGGUAGCUAAAUGCGGAAGAGAUAAGUGCUGAAAGCAUCUAAGCACGAAACUUGCCCCGAGAUGAGUUCUCCCUGACCCUUUAAGGGUCCUGAAGGAACGUUGAAGACGACGACGUUGAUAGGCCGGGUGUGUAAGCGCAGCGAUGCGUUGAGCUAACCGGUACUAAUGAACCGUGAGGCUUAACCUU